Molecule: long non-coding RNA, 290 nt
Organism: Camponotus floridanus (Florida carpenter ant)
Lineage: Eukaryota; Metazoa; Arthropoda; Insecta; Hymenoptera; Formicidae
Exons: 3
Source: RefSeq, a predicted model, not a curated record
AUUUACAAUUCUCAUUAUCAUGUACAUGUUUUUAGCCAAUUAUAUUGGUCAACUUAUAACGAAUCACAAUCAUCAUGUAUUUGUUACUGCAUAUAAUGUUCAAUGGUACAUAGCUCCAUUGCAUAUACAGAAAAUAAUAUUAUUUCUGUUACAAAGAAACUCGAAAAAUUUUACUUUGACCAUCGGUAAACUGUUUGUUGCAUCUGUAGAGUGUUUUGCUACGCUAGCGAAGACCUCUGUAUCCUAUUUUACAGUUAUAUAUUCCAUACAAUGACGAAAUUAUAAUGAUU